Molecule: non-coding RNA, 114 nt
Organism: Staphylotrichum longicolle
Lineage: Eukaryota; Fungi; Ascomycota; Sordariomycetes; Sordariales; Chaetomiaceae
Source: the annotation of a GenBank genome assembly
GGCUGGAUGGCCGAGUGGUCUAAGGCGGUAGACUCAAGAACUCAGUGUCUUCCCCACAAAAUGGGGUGUAUUCUACUCUCGCAAGAGGCGCGCGUUCGAAUCGCGCUCCAGUCA